This is a long non-coding RNA of Oreochromis aureus, 628 nucleotides long. The record is from Ensembl. Lineage: Eukaryota; Metazoa; Chordata; Actinopteri; Cichliformes; Cichlidae.
GCUCGAUGGCGUUCCGAAACUGCUCUCAGUAUCAAGGCCUGCUGUGACUGUAUUUGCUCUGAGAUGGAUAGGGCAAGUGUACGCUCAUGCGGAAAUACACAGACCUUUGAAGUGGCCCUCUGUCACCACAUGGCAGAUCCCCCUAGUGUGAUCCCUCUGUCCAUUUGGCCAAAGGACCAACAUUGGAUGGUAGCAAACACCCAUCUGUGCAGUUACCAGUGCCACUUUCCUGUGUUGGAUGGGCUUUGCACUCAGAUCAAAUAUAUCCUUCCUCACUAAAGACGUAGCAAAAAAAAAACUGCAAAGAAGGUGCAGCGUAUUUCCUCCUUCGGGUCCUUGGUCCUGAUUCUGUGAUUGUUGUCGCUGUAGUUGUAGCUGUGCCUGCGCAGCUCCAUCCUGUGAAGGUCCUUGUGGGUUGGGAAGAGCAGGGGAGCAGUCACACAGGGGGAUGGUGGGAUGGCGGACAAGGGGCUGAAGGGACGGGAGGCAGGCAGGCAGGUGUCACGCAUGCAGUCAGGGGAAAGAGGAGAGGGUAGCAGGAAAAACAAAAAAACAAAACUAAAUUCUACCCAGUCACCACAAAAUAGAAAAAUCCAUUUGGAUCUGCUCAAGACAAAACCGAAAAAGA